AACUUUCGACCACCGCCUCUCUCCCUUCUCUCUCGCAUUUCCACCAUUGUCAACCAUAGAUGAGACCUCCGAAGCUUCACAAAACUAUGCCAAACACAUAAAUCACCAUCAAAAUCUUACCUAAACACCUCCUAUCAACUUGAAUCCAAGGAGAUCCUUGAAGAUUGGCUUCAAGACUAGAGAGAGAAAGUUUGAUAUUUGGUGUAAACUUGGGCCCGAGCGAGACGAAGAGGUAAGUUGCCUGAUUUCUUUCCAGGAUUAGCAAAGGACUUCAGGUGGGCAAUAUUUUGAGUAUACGUAUAUCAUUCGAGCUUUCUGAAAUGAUUUAAUGAUGUUAUGAGCUUAUCAAAUGAUUUGAGAUAAAUGAUGUUUGAGAACUGUUUGAGUUGCCAAUUUUUGAUGUUGAGCUUGUAUGUUACCCUCUACUGAUGAGAUGAGACGAAUUCGGUCCUGCCACAAGCGGGAUUUUGUGCACAGAGGUGACUGCGAGCCGUCUUCGGGUCGGCCGGUCACGGUACUUGAGAGGGAGGCCUACUUCUCAGGACCUUUGAUGAUGAUAAGUUGUAGAUGUGGUACAUACAUGAUGAGUACUUUGAUAGCGCUAUCGUUUCUUUAUGAUAUCAUGAUUAUGAAAACUGCAUGCACAGAUUCAUUUACGCUAACUUUUUUUCUGUGUGUUGCUGAGAUGUGGCAAGUUUCAAACCUAUAGCUCUAAGAGCACCUUUCUUAUUUUUCGGCGUUUGCCCACUGAGUAUUAUGUACUCACGCCCUGCAUGUAUUUCUAAAUAUGCAGACUAAGCGAGGAGCGAGAUUGGUCUGGUGCUGGUGGGGAAUUGCUGAAGGAUGUAUUUACUUUAUCGUAUUUCCAUUUUGACGAUAAAGUCUUGAUGAUUGAUAUGCUUUGAUUUUCUUUUGAAUUUAAGCAAUGUACUCACGGUUAUAUGUCUUCAUACAUAUAAUCGGUUCGCCUUUUGCUGCGAUACUCUGCAUAUUAUGAUUCCUUACGAAAAAUGAGCGAUACCCGUUUUGUUUUUGUUCGUGAAAUUCCUGAUAAUUAAAAAGUUAUAACGACAUUGACGAUUUUA
Molecule: long non-coding RNA, 1085 nt
Organism: Salvia miltiorrhiza (redroot sage)
Lineage: Eukaryota; Viridiplantae; Streptophyta; Magnoliopsida; Lamiales; Lamiaceae
Exons: 2
Source: RefSeq, a predicted model, not a curated record